AGAGCACCUGAGGUUUGUAGGCUGAGUUCAUACAAGCAGCAAAACUGGGUAUCGAACAGACAAGACAACAGCUGCUGCCUGUGUGAAUGUAAAAAAGGAGGUGAACACAUGCGUUACAUUUGCAUGUCUUUCAGCCAAGCACUCCUGGUUGAAUACUUGAUUCACAGGAGGGGAAGCAGUAGUGUGCUAACCAUAAUUCAACAGGACUUGGAGGAAUACUUCAGGCCUCUUGGAGCCACUGAAUCACUUUCAUUUGCUUCAUAGGGUGCUCUGCAGCUUGCAGCCUAAUAUGUCUGGUCUCCUUGGUGGAAUGGAGACGGCUGAUUUCCUACAGCUCACUGGGUAUGGUGUGGUUGGCCAGGAGCGUGCUGCGAGGCCCUGACAGCAAGACAGUGCUGGACCAAAGCUGCAGGAAGCUGAUUUCCGGACCAGUUUACGGAGGAGCAGCAGAGGGAAGGAGAGGGAUCCUGGUAGAUGUUCUCCACACAGAUGCUAGGAAGCAGAUCACUGGAGUCCAGAACUCAGAGAACAAGUCACUAGUCAGAACUUUGAGGAGAAAGGAAAGCAAAGAGAUGAGCCUGAUUACCCCUAAUGUGAGCAAAACAAUCUUCCAUCUGUUUCAGCUUCUCUUUAAGCUCUUCUUGAUGAGCCUUAAUGAGCCGAGCUGCGAAUCCUGCACCUGUCGGUCGCACCCUGGAAUACGAAGGAGGAUGUGGAAAAAUCACCAAACAACCUGCACACAGCUCUGUGGAUGUGAUGUGACAUUACAUUACCAUAAAAUGAGACAAUACAGUUCAUAUCCUCUUUUAUGUUAAGAAGUCUUAACAUUAAUGAUCUAAUAUUUGUGAGUGACAAUUACUUCAAUAAGAUUUAGAAACUAGACUGCACCUAAACUUUUUUUGAUUCAUAUUGCUUUUGUCUUUUUCUUUUAUGUUGAAGGUAGGAUAAAAUAAAUUUUUAAAAGCAGACUUCUGAAAAGGAUUUCCAGGUUUUACAUCAUGAUCACAUGCUAAUACCAACUUCUGCGAGCCAGAAAGCUGGACCUACAUCAAACCAUGAGAAGUGAUGCUCAGACCAA
Molecule: long non-coding RNA, 1078 nt
Organism: Girardinichthys multiradiatus
Lineage: Eukaryota; Metazoa; Chordata; Actinopteri; Cyprinodontiformes; Goodeidae
Exons: 3
Source: RefSeq, a predicted model, not a curated record